GCUACCGCCGUGCCAGCAGCCGCGGUCAUACGGAGGGUGCAAGCGUUAAUCGGAAUUACUGGGCGUAAAGCGUGCGCAGGCGGCUUAUUAAGUCAGAAGUGAAAUACCUAGGCUCAACCUAGGAACUGCAUUUGAAACUAAUAAACUAGAGUAUCGUAGAGGGAGGUAGAAUUCCAGGUGUAUCGGUGAAAUGCGUAGAUAUCUGGAGGAAUACCAGUGGCGAAGGCGACCUCCUGGACGAAAACUGACGCUCAAGCACGAAAGCAUGGGGAGCAAACAGGAUUAGAUACCCCAGUAGUC
This 300-nucleotide ribosomal RNA is filed under the name uncultured Lactobacillus sp. Its description in RNAcentral is "bacterial SSU rRNA". It matches the Rfam family "Bacterial small subunit ribosomal RNA", at positions 496 to 795 of the family's 1533-position model. The record is from RNAcentral. Lineage: Bacteria; Bacillati; Bacillota; Bacilli; Lactobacillales; Lactobacillaceae.